Molecule: ribosomal RNA, 40 nt
Filed under: Tilletiopsis washingtonensis
Lineage: Eukaryota; Fungi; Basidiomycota; Exobasidiomycetes; Entylomatales
Also listed under: 1 other name
Description: partial 26S large subunit ribosomal RNA
Source: RNAcentral
CUCUGGCCUCAAAUCAGGUAGGAUUACCCGCUGAACUUAA